This 777-nucleotide transfer RNA is filed under the name uncultured cyanobacterium. RNAcentral describes it as "partial contains 16S ribosomal RNA, 16S-23S ribosomal RNA intergenic spacer, and 23S ribosomal RNA". The stretch from base 281 to 353 matches the Rfam family "tRNA". The record is from RNAcentral. Lineage: Bacteria; Bacillati; Cyanobacteriota.
CAGGGAGACAAUAACUGAUCGUGAUGUCUGGCUAAAUCAUUGCUAGGCCAUGAUCCUGUCAUCUCGAUGGUUAAUCGGUAUCUCAACCGACAGAAGCGAAGCCAAAAGUAACUCCAGCAAUGGAGAAGCGGAUGAGUUGUCGUGAAUGUCUUUUCAGUUCCUAAACUUUGUCUAGGUCACCCCACAAGGGUAUCCCUGGGCCAUUAGCUCAGGUGGUUAGAGCGCACCCCUGAUAAGGGUGAGGUCCCUGGUUCAAGUCCAGGAUGGCCCAUUCGUAUUUGGGGGUUUAGCUCAGUUGGUAGAGCGCCUGCUUUGCAAGCAGGAUGUCAGCGGUUCGAGUCCGCUAACCUCCACUGACCAACCCACCCGGAUCGCGAAAGCAACGGGAGAGAGCUUGUGGUGGUGAUUAAAGACACUUGUACUGAGAGAGGACUCUAGCUUCCUUUCAUCUCAUGGGCCGCCCAAAUCUUUAGAACAGAUUGAAACGGUAGCCGUGAUUGAAAAGACGCUGGACUCUAGCAUGGUCAACCAAAAGGUUAAUCUUUGCUGUGUUCAGUAGAACCUUGACAACUGCAUAGGUAAGUCUGUAAAUAAAGCAUCUCAUGGAUGCUUCAACAGCAGCAAUUAUUUUCAGGGGCUUUGGUCACUGGGAUAAAGGCUUGAUGUUGGAGCGAUUCUAGAGUAGGAGCCGAGACUCCGCAUUGCUCCUGGUUCUUGCCGAAAGAAUCGGGUCUGAUCUUGUUUUCAUAAACAGUAAGUGAUGGAAUGGAAAAAUCC